UCAAGUCAAGUUCAUUAAAAUGGAUGUCCAAAUUUCGAAUUGAAUAACAUGACAAGAUCGAAAGUUAUUGAACGAAUCACAAUGAACAGUCGGAAGAAUGUCGCGUGAUGAAAUAAAAACAUUCCUAAUUGUAAAAGAAUUCGCUAAAUUCAUAGAUCAAAUUUGGUUUUGUAUUCAUACAAAAUUCACUGGAAACAAGCGAUUCUCAUUCUGAAUGAUGAAUUUGAACAAUUAUUUUUUGUCAAACUUCAUAUCAAUCAACAAUUUCAAAGUCAAAAAUUGUUUCAGUAAUUUUUUGUCCUAUUUUUCAUAUCAACAAAGUAAUCCCACGUCAAAUAUUAUUAUUCUGUAAUGAAAUCAAUAUUGACAUUCACAUCAUUGGAAUUGAAAGAAUUUCGUGUUAUCAAUCUCAACAAUUGGUAGCAGAGUGUGGUUUGAUUUUUUGAUUAAUCAUAACAAAUUCACAAUUCUUGUUUAUAUUUUUUCAUUGUAUUUUUUUUUUUUCUCAUAUCUUUAAAUUGUCACAAACUGACCAUAUUCAAAUGAUUUAUUGAUAAAUUUUAAUUUUAAUAUAUUUUA
Molecule: non-coding RNA, 579 nt
Organism: Dermatophagoides farinae (American house dust mite)
Lineage: Eukaryota; Metazoa; Arthropoda; Arachnida; Sarcoptiformes; Pyroglyphidae
Source: RefSeq, a predicted model, not a curated record